RNAcentral lists this long non-coding RNA (371 nucleotides) under Lupinus angustifolius (narrow-leaved blue lupine). Its description in RNAcentral is "long non-coding RNA (LANG_LNC000061)". The record is from RNAcentral. Lineage: Eukaryota; Viridiplantae; Streptophyta; Magnoliopsida; Fabales; Fabaceae.
CCUAUUUCCUUUACUUAUUUUAGCAUUUUCUCCUUUUUCUAAUCAUUUCUUGCACUUUGUGCAGUUUUAUUCUUUUCACAUAUUUUUUGUUGUUUUUUAUUUUUUUAGGAAGAGAAAAGAAAAAAAUUUCAACUUUCAUAAAUUUCUCAUUCUAAUAUAUAAUUUUCCCUUUGCUACAAUCACUUAUUCAAAUAUAUCUAAGCAUGCAUUUGAUAUGGAUUAUAUUUAGUUUAAGUUUGUAAAUUCUUUAUUAUAUACUAUGAUAUUAUAAUCAAUGAAGAUUAUAAUAUGUUUAUGUUUAGGUACCUUAGCUUGUUGAGUCCUAGUUUUCGGCUAUGUGAUAUCUUUUGAAGUCGUCAUUACGUCUUUUG